AAAGCAGGGAUUGUGUGCAUCGGCGUUGUGCUACAAUAAGUGCAUGCAUUGUGUCCGAAAGAGGUCUCUGCCGUGGAUCUGGGGAAGGUGGGCAGUUGUGUUUCAUUCCUUUUAUUGAAACUUUCAACAAUCAUCUUACUCCACAUCU
Small nucleolar RNA from Cornus florida, 148 nucleotides. RefSeq annotates it as small nucleolar RNA snoR135. The record is from RefSeq and is a predicted model, not a curated record. The transcript has a single exon. NCBI's taxonomy places the organism in Eukaryota, Viridiplantae, Streptophyta, Magnoliopsida, Cornales, Cornaceae.